AUUGAACGCUGGCGGCAGGCCUAACACAUGCAAGUCGAGCGGAUGCAGGGAGCUUGCUCCUGGAUUCAGCGGCGGCCGGGUGAGUAAUGCCUAGGAAUCUGCCUGGACGUGGGGGAUAACGUCCGGAAACGGGCGCUAAUACCGCAUACGUCCUGAGGGAGAAAGUGGGGGGUCUUCGGACCUCACGCUAUCAGAUGAGCCUAGGUCGGAUUAGCUAGUUGGUGGGGUAAAGGCCUACCAAGGCGACGAUCCGUAACUGGUCUGAGAGGAUGAUCAGUCACACUGGAACUGAGACACGGUCCAGACUCCUACGGGAGGCAGCAGUGGGGAAUAUUGGACAAUGGGCGAAAGCCUGAUCCAGCCAUGCCGCGUGUGGGAAGAAGGUCUUCGGAUUGGAAAGCACUUUAAGUUGGGAGGAAGGGCAGUAAGUUUAUACCGUGCUGUUUUGACGUUACCAACAGAAUAAGCACCGGCUAACUUCGUG
RNAcentral lists this ribosomal RNA (484 nucleotides) under uncultured bacterium. RNAcentral describes it as "partial 16S ribosomal RNA". It matches the Rfam family "Bacterial small subunit ribosomal RNA", at positions 30 to 507 of the family's 1533-position model. The record is from RNAcentral.